AAACUCCUACGGGGCGCAGCAGUGGGGGAUAUUGCACAAUGGGGGAAACCCUGAUGCAGCGACACCGCGUGAGCGAUGAAGUAUUUCGGUAUGUAAAGCUCUAUCAGCAGGGAAGAAAAUGACGGUACCUGACUAAGAAGCCCCGGCUAACUACGUGCCAGCAGCCGCGGUAAUACGUAGGGGGCAAGCGUUAUCCGGAUUUACUGGGUGUAAAGGGAGCGUAGACGGCAGUGCAAGUCUGAAGUGAAAGGCAAGGGAUCAACACUAGGACUGCUUUGGAAACUGUGGUGCUCGAGUGUCGGAGG
This 305-nucleotide ribosomal RNA is filed under the name uncultured bacterium. Its description in RNAcentral is "bacterial SSU rRNA". It matches the Rfam family "Bacterial small subunit ribosomal RNA", at positions 333 to 655 of the family's 1533-position model. The record is from RNAcentral.